GCCGAGGUAGCUAAGCCCGGUUUACGGCGCCAGCCUUGAGAGCUGGUGGUGCUUGACACCGCGGGAGUUCAAAUCUCCCCCUCGGCG
Molecule: transfer RNA, 87 nt
Filed under: Methanobacteriota archaeon
Lineage: Archaea; Methanobacteriati; Methanobacteriota
Description: Euryarchaeota archaeon (groundwater metagenome) tRNA-Ser
Rfam family: tRNA
About the family: Transfer RNA (tRNA) molecules are approximately 80 nucleotides in length. Their secondary structure includes four short double-helical elements and three loops (D, anti-codon, and T loops).
Source: RNAcentral